GUUAUAUUAGUUGUUUAAACUUCUAGACGAAGUGAUCCAACAAUUAAAUGUGGAGAUGGGGGGAUACCUCAACGAAGCAAUCAUGGAAGAAGAGGCGAAUGGUGGCUGGACCAGAUACCGGCGCUUCUCUGAAUUGCAGGGAGGUUACGGAUGCAACAAGCUGGUCGACCAGAGGGCAGGAUUUGGCGUAGUAAUCGACAGAGAGUUGUCGUGGCGGCCGGCCAGUGGUGUUGGCCGUGGACUUGGGGAAUGAGUGUAUAGCCAAUGUAACAAGGAAAAGGAAAAUGAGCACGAAAAUGAUAACAGGGAAUGAAUUGGAAGAGACAGACAUGGCAGUUUUUUUUUUUAGAGAGCAAUGUUCUAGGACAAAUUAGCAAAUAUUAUUGAAGUGAGUGUCACUGGGAGAAAAAAACCUGUCACGUUAAUGAGAGAAUCAAAUCCCGUGACCGUGAGGCCCAGAAGUUGUGAAAAAUUAAAUUUUCACAGACACACACACACACACAAGCCCUCGUGAAAUGGAAGAAAACUGCAGGAAAAAGUAUAAUCCGUGUCAUAAAAGGAAUAAAACCAUGAAUGCAUUACUGCUCGACUUAUUUCCUCUAUUAGCACACAGUACUCAUUGGGCUAAACAGUAUAAUAAAACGACUAGAGAACUUCUUUUUCUUCUUCAAUAAUGUCUAGGAAUAUCAAACAUUCUAUCUUAAAAAAUAAGUUUACUGCAUUUUGCGUGGCUCUUUCUAAGAAAUUUAUUGGUGGACGGCGUAAACUUUACCCUUGUACAAUAUACCAUUUGCUCUUUUUGUUUGAUUAGAUAUUUAAAGUCCGAGGAUUUGUUGGUUUGAUAUCAGAUAAAAUAACACUGUUCAGCGAAAAGCAUCAUUUCAUUUUCACGGGCAUAGCCACCGACUUUAAUUUUAUAUAUUGUAUUAUUCGUAAUUUUUAGUGUUACUAAUACGCCCUUAGCAUGGAAGUGUACUCGAUGCUUGAACAUGGACUAAACUCACCGGCACUUUAUGAGCAUAAAUAGAAGACUUUGACAUGGCAUACUUUUUUUUGUCUGUUUUAAUAUCAUAUUGAUUAUUACGUCGUCUAGAGUCGCGAAAGAGAGACCUGAACACCAUCUUUAAAUGCAGUGCAUUGAGGAAUCUCACCAACUUAUUAACUACCUUUCAAUAUAAAUUUAACAAAAUAACAGGAAAAUAUGUCUCACCAAAUGGACGAAAUCUCUGGCAGCAAUUGCAAGUAUAUCUGCGCAGGAUACAACUCCAGGGCACUUGCUCUCCACCAAUGAUUUGGCCUUCUUUAUGCUAUCAAAUGCCUCCACUGCUAGUUCCUUGUUAUCCUCUGCGUCCUUCUCUGAUAAUUCUUUGCUUCCCAUUCUUGUUUUAAUAAGUACUGAUGCAUCACAUCCCUUAAGCAAAACCAUUCAUAAAUAAUUACAAGACAGCUUAAACUUGUGCGGGUUGUAUUAGUUGUUUAAACUUCUAGACGAAGUGAUCCAACAAUUAAAUAUGGAGAUGGGGGAAUACCUCAACGAAGCAAUCAUGGAAGAAGAGGCGAAUGGUGGCUGGACCAGAUACCGGCGCUUCUCUGAAUUGCAGGGAGGUUACGGAUGCAACAAGCUGGUCGACCAGAGGGCAGGAUUUGGCGUAGUAAUCGACAGAGAGUUGUCGUGGCGGCCGGCCAGUGGUGUUGGCCGUGGACUUGGGGAAUGAGUGUAUAGCCAAUGUAACAAGGAAAAGGAAAAUGAGCAC
RNAcentral lists this long non-coding RNA (1754 nucleotides) under Olea europaea (common olive). Its description in RNAcentral is "long non-coding RNA (OEUR_LNC005035)". The record is from RNAcentral. Lineage: Eukaryota; Viridiplantae; Streptophyta; Magnoliopsida; Lamiales; Oleaceae.